Mesitornis unicolor (brown roatelo) is the source of this 397-nucleotide long non-coding RNA. RefSeq lists it as uncharacterized. The transcript has 3 exons. The record is from RefSeq and is a predicted model, not a curated record. NCBI's taxonomy places the organism in Eukaryota, Metazoa, Chordata, Aves, Mesitornithiformes, Mesitornithidae.
GGACACUGGACCUGCAGGAAUGGGGGUACCUGUGUGACCCAGUCCCAAGACAAAACUAUCUGCCAAUGCCCCGAAGGUUACAAGGGAAGAUGGUGUGAAAUUAGCCAGGUGAAGGCUGGAAGACCUGUUGGACUGAGCUCUGGCUCUAUUCUGGCAAUCAGCAUGUGUCUCCUUGUCUUCCUAGGAUUGGUGAAAGGCCAGAGAUUGGCCAAAAUGCCUUCUAUUUAAAUGGAUUCCUUUAGCACUCUUGGUCUCCUACACAGUGUGGAGUCAGUGGGGAAGCUCAGGUUUUCGGAAAGGAGGAAUUUACCACAUUCCUGAAGAACGUGAAAGCUGGGAGGAUGUUAGAGAAAAUGUCUUCAAUUAUAAUGAAGAAGGAGGUGGAGAACGUGACCAG